This is a long non-coding RNA of Anopheles coustani, 2240 nucleotides long. RefSeq lists it as uncharacterized. Lineage: Eukaryota; Metazoa; Arthropoda; Insecta; Diptera; Culicidae. The record is from RefSeq and is a predicted model, not a curated record. The transcript is spliced from 3 exons.
UGCGAACUGUCCGGCGUAUCGCGUGUUUCUGUACAGAGAAAGACGGUCGGUAUCGGGGUUUUUUUUCCUCCCGUGCAAUGGGUAGUGCGUGGUACAAGUGAUUGGCUUGAUUGAUAAGCAAAAUUCAAACCAAGCAAUUCGUGCAAAGAAACAGUGUGCUGUGAUGUGUUAAGAAUAAUGCCACAAGGCAUAAAGAAUGAAAGAAGGAAAAAUAGAAACCUAUGUUAUGUGCUGGCUAUCACGAGCCUGCAGUGCGACAGAAGGAGAAAGUUAGGGCAAGCGAGAUGAAGCGAACAACAGCCUACGGUGUACCCACACUUUCAAAACAAUCCGUGUACGUACGAUAUAAUCCUGGUGUUAGAUCAAGAAUCGGCGGUCGAGGGAAAUAAAAAGAUACCAAAACGCUUGCCACAGUUACCCUCAACCGUCUGUAUUCGGUUCCAGCCGGAAAAUAGUAUCCCUUUUUGCUGCGACUCGAGUGCAAUGUAGUGAAGACGCCGGUACAUUUGUGUUGUACAGUAACUACCCAAUUCCGGAACGUAACGAAAAGUGCAACAGCUUCUCAGCAACUAGUGUAAAUUUCGUAUACUGUACUAGUGUUUAUUUUACCCUAUCAAUGUGUUUGUAUGCCUGUAAUUGGUUUUAACAAUGUGUAUUUUAAAGUUCGCUAUUUUCUCUAAAACGAUGCUGUGUGCGAAAUUAUCUGAUACGAGUUAAGUGCAGUAACGGUCCGAUAUUCAAGCAGAACGAUAAAGAAAAACUUCGCAUGGCCGUACACUUUAUUUCGUGGGCUCUGAAGACGAAAUCUUACCAUUUUCUUCACGCUGCUAUGUCAGCCGCAAUCGGCAAUCAACUCGUCGUGGUCGUCGACGGUGGUGGUAUUAAUAAUUGCCACCAGUAAUCAUCUUCCAUCCGGGAACCACACGUCGGUACGGUGACAACUGGCAACAUCUCACAUCUGGCCGGUCGUCAUAGCAACCGCCGGUGGAUGGCACCCACUCGUAGUUUGCCCCUACCUCCGGUACCCAGUGCAGUGUUGAGCGAAAGGGAUCGUUAAAUUACCUAAAUUGACCGAGCCGCCUACGGUGUUUUGUUUACGGAAUUGGCUGCUUCCAGCACUCCGGAUGAUUAUUGUAUGAGCAUUUUACAACCAGCCAACGAUUUCCCAACCCGAUAGUACCCGAUACCCACAUCGAAACUGCGAAGCUGUCAUCGCGGUUGCGUGUUGAACGAGUUGGAACCACCACAUAUGCAACUAUUUUUCGUGUAGCGGCAAGGACGUGCGGCACCAUCCCACAUCGGCAAGGCUCUUGUGCAUGUGCCUUCGUGUGGGAGGAGAAGCUCGUGGAAGGGGUUGUCACGUAGCCUUCUUAUGGUUUAGCCUAUCUUCCGGUGAGCAAAAAAGGGAAAGCUCUGGUAGUGAUGCAUCUGGAAAGAGGCACUACCCUGUAACGUCCUCGACGAGGCAUGUAGUGACGGAUGAUGAGUUUGGUGCGCAACGUAAUGGAGGUAAUGUUGGGACAGAAGAACACAACGGUGUCAAUACUCACGGGUUUAACGUUAACUUACGGAAAAUCGUGCUAAGCCACCGACAGAAUAGGAGCAAGAACACAACAUAAGGGUCAUGGCAUGAUGCACACGAACCCACUGGAGUGCCUAGGACAGAUACAGCCGAUCGAUUGCACCUCACACGGUUUCACGAACGUUGGACGGCAGCAUACAGGAGGAAAGUUCAUGUUUAUCAGCAGCUACAUUGUUGCACGGCGCAACGGAACCGGCUCGCUGGCGAACGGCGUGUUAUGGGAGAAAAUAAGAUAAAUGGUUGUGGAAUGAGACACGCACACACACGCACACACACAUAUAUACUCAGCUAAAGCAAACUCCCAAAUGUCUCGCAUCCAAAGGAAGGCAUCGAUAAAAUGACCGAAAAUACACUGCAAGGAGUCUAGUAGCCUGAAAAACGCGAGAGAGAAAUCUGAGACUACCGACAAAAGCACACGGGCGAUUGCAAGCGAAAGUGGCUUGCAAAGUCGGUUACUACGAUCGAGUCGACCGACACAGCGGAGCAGAAACCAGGCAACGCGUUACCUUACAUGAUGCUGGAGCGUUAUGAUUCUACUACGUAACGCAGAUAUUAGUACUUGGAACGUUCCAUCGCGCAGGGCGUGAUAAUUAGUCAUUUAUCGGUGGCGAAAUGAGGUCGCUUGACGGAGGCAGUUGGAUCCUCGUUGAGCAAUCUG